AAAUUGAAGAGUUUGAUCAUGGCUCAGAUUGAACGCUGGCGGCAGGCCUAACACAUGCAAGUCGAACGGUAACAGGAAGCAGCUUGCUGCUUCGCUGACGAGUGGCGGACGGGUGAGUAAUGUCUGGGAAACUGCCUGAUGGAGGGGGAUAACUACUGGAAACGGUGGCUAAUACCGCAUAACGUCGCAAGACCAAAGAGGGGGACCUUCGGGCCUCUUGCCAUCAGAUGUGCCCAGAUGGGAUUAGCUUGUUGGUGAGGUAACGGCUCACCAAGGCGACGAUCCCUAGCUGGUCUGAGAGGAUGACCAGCCACACUGGAACUGAGACACGGUCCAGACUCCUACGGGAGGCAGCAGUGGGGAAUAUUGCACAAUGGGCGCAAGCCUGAUGCAGCCAUGCCGCGUGUAUGAAGAAGGCCUUCGGGUUGUAAAGUACUUUCAGCGGGGAGGAAGGUGUUGCGGUUAAUAACCGCAGCAAUUGACGUUACCCGCAGAAGAAGCACCGGCUAACUCCGUGCCAGCAGCCGCGGUAAUACGGAGGGUGCAAGCGUUAAUCGGAAUUACUGGGCGUAAAGCGCACGCAGGCGGUCUGUCAAGUCGGAUGUGAAAUCCCCGGGCUCAACCUGGGAACUGCAUUCGAAACUGGCAGGCUUGAGUCUUGUAGAGGGGGGUAGAAUUCCAGGUGUAGCGGUGAAAUGCGUAGAGAUCUGGAGGAAUACCGGUGGCGAAGGCGGCCCCCUGGACAAAGACUGACGCUCAGGUGCGAAAGCGUGGGGAGCAAACAGGAUUAGAUACCCUGGUAGUCCACGCCGUAAACGAUGUCUACUUGGAGGUUGUGCCCUUGAGGCGUGGCUUCCGGAGCUAACGCGUUAAGUAGACCGCACGGGAGUACGGCCGCAAGGUUAAAACUCAAAUGAAUUGACGGGGGCCCGCACAAGCGGUGGAGCAUGUGGUUUAAUUCGAUGCAACGCGAAGAACCUUACCUGGUCUUGACAUCCACGGAAGGUCUCAGAGAUGAGACUGUGCCUUCGGGAGCCGUGAGACAGGUGCUGCAUGGCUGUCGUCAGCUCGUGUUGUGAAAUGUUGGGUUAAGUCCCGCAACGAGCGCAACCCUUAUCCUUUGUUGCCAGCGAUUAGGUCGGGAACUCAAAGGAGACUGCCAGUGAUAAACUGGAGGAAGGUGGGGAUGACGUCAAGUCAUCAUGGCCCUUACGACCAGGGCUACACACGUGCUACAAUGGCGCAUACAAAGAGAAGCGACCUCGCGAGAGCAAGCGGACCUCAUAAAGUGCGUCGUAGUCCGGAUUGGAGUCUGCAACUCGACUCCAUGAAGUCGGAAUCGCUAGUAAUCGUGGAUCAGAAUGCCACGGUGAAUACGUUCCCGGGCCUUGUACACACCGCCCGUCACACCAUGGGAGUGGGUUGCAAAAGAAGUAGGUAGCUUAACCUUCGGGAGGGCGCUUACCACUUUGUGAUUCAUGACUGGGGUGAAGUCGUAACAAGGUAACCGUAGGGGAACCUGCGGUUGGAUCACCUCCUUACCUGAAAGAA
Molecule: ribosomal RNA, 1551 nt
Filed under: Salmonella enterica subsp. salamae serovar 56:z10:e,n,x
Lineage: Bacteria; Pseudomonadati; Pseudomonadota; Gammaproteobacteria; Enterobacterales; Enterobacteriaceae
Description: 16S ribosomal RNA
Rfam family: Bacterial small subunit ribosomal RNA
Source: RNAcentral